GACGAACGCUGGCGGCGUGCUUAACACAUGCAAGUCGAACGGAAGGGCCUCUUUCGGGGGGUACUCGAGUGGCGAACGGGUGAGUAACACGUGAGUAACCUGCCCUUGACUUUGGGAUAACUUCAGGAAACUGGGGCUAAUACCGGAUAGGAGCUCCUGCUGCAUGGUGGGGGCUGGAAAGUUUCGGCGGUUGGGGAUGGACUCGCGGCUUAUCAGCUUGUUGGUGGGGUAGUGGCUUACCAAGGCUUUGACGGGUAGCCGGCCUGAGAGGGUGACCGGCCACAUUGGGACUGAGAUACGGCCCAGACUCCUACGGGAGGCAGCAGUGGGGAAUAUUGCACAAUGGGUGGAAGCCUGAUGCAGCAACGCCGUGUGCGGGAUGACGGCCUUCGGGUUGUAAACCGCUUUCGCUCAUGACGAAGCUUUGUGUGACGGUAGUGGGUAAAGAAGCACCGGCUAACUACGUG
Molecule: ribosomal RNA, 467 nt
Filed under: uncultured bacterium
Lineage: Bacteria
Description: partial 16S ribosomal RNA
Rfam family: Bacterial small subunit ribosomal RNA
Source: RNAcentral